This 508-nucleotide ribosomal RNA is filed under the name Kritacris arboricola. Its description in RNAcentral is "partial 16S ribosomal RNA". It matches the Rfam family "Archaeal large subunit ribosomal RNA", at positions 1911 to 2666 of the family's 2987-position model. The record is from RNAcentral. Lineage: Eukaryota; Metazoa; Arthropoda; Insecta; Orthoptera; Acrididae.
GUCCUCUUGAUAAAUUAUUUGAGGUCUGGUCUGCUCACUGAUGAAUAUUAAAGAGCCGCGGUAUUUUGACCGUGCAAAGGUAGCAUAAUCAUUAGUCUCUUAAUUAGGGGCUGGAAUGAAUGGCUUGACGAGAAAUCAACUGUCUCUUAUUAAAUUCUAGAAUUUAACUUUUGAGUUAAAAGGCUUAAAUUUUUCUUUAGGACGAGAAGACCCUAUAGAGCUUGACAUUUUACUUUUAUAUAUUUUUUAGAUGUUUAUAUAUAUAGAAUGUUGAUGUUUUGUUGGGGUGACAUAAAGAAUAAAUAAACUCUUUUUUAUAAAAUCAUUGAUUUAUGUUAAUAAAAUGAUCCAUAAUUUAUGAUUAUAAGAUUAAGUUACCUUAGGGAUAACAGCGUAAUUGUUUUUGAGAGCUCAUAUCGACAAAGCAGAUUGCGACCUCGAUGUUGGAUUAAGAAAAAUGUUGGGUGCAGUAAUUCAAUAAUUAGGUCUGUUCGACCUUUAAAUUCUU